This 175-nucleotide small nuclear RNA is filed under the name Suricata suricatta (meerkat). RNAcentral describes it as "U2 spliceosomal RNA (ENSSSUG00005009646.1)". The stretch from base 1 to 154 matches the Rfam family "U2 spliceosomal RNA". Rfam says of the family: U2 is a small nuclear RNA (snRNA) component of the spliceosome (involved in pre-mRNA splicing). Complementary binding between U2 snRNA (in an area lying towards the 5' end but 3' to hairpin I) and the branchpoint sequence (BPS) of the intron results the bulging out of an unpaired adenosine, on the BPS, which initiates a nucleophilic attack at the intronic 5' splice site, thus starting the first of two transesterification reactions that mediate splicing. The record is from RNAcentral. Lineage: Eukaryota; Metazoa; Chordata; Mammalia; Carnivora; Herpestidae.
AUCGCUUCUCGGCCUUUUGGCUAAGAUCAAGUGUAAAUAAUUUUCCCCCACACUAUUUUAAAACAUUUGGUGUUUCAAUUUCUUUGAUCAGAGCUGCUCUUUAUUAGGUCUCAGGUAACAGUAGCUCACACAUUCAUUGAGGAUCUACUAUUUAGUUCUCGCCUGUGUUCCAGAU